AGUGAACGCUGGCGGUAGGCCUAACACAUGCAAGACGAACGGCAGCACAGGAGAGCUUGCUCUCUGGGUGGCGAGUGGCGGACGGGUGAGGAAUACAUCGGAAUCUACUCUGUCGUGGGGGAUAACGUAGGGAAACUUACGCUAAUACCGCAUACGACCUACGGGUGAAAGCAGGGGACCUUCGGGCCUUGCGCGAUUGAAUGAGCCGAUGUCGGAUUAGCUAGUUGGCGGGGUAAAGGCCCACCAAGGCGACGAUCCGUAGCUGGUCUGAGAGGAUGAUCAGCCACACUGGAACUGAUACACGGUCCAGACUCCUACGGGAGGCAGCAGUGGGGAAUAUUGGACAAUGGGCGCAAGCCUGAGCCAGCCAUACCGCGUGGGUGAAGAAGGCCUUCGGGUUGUAAAGCCCUUUUGUUGGGAAAGAAAUCCAGCUGGCUAAUACCCGGUUGGGAUGACGGUACCCAAAGAAUAAGCACCGGCUAACUUCGUGCCAGCAGCCGCAGUAA
This 506-nucleotide ribosomal RNA is filed under the name uncultured bacterium. RNAcentral's name for it is "partial 16S ribosomal RNA". It matches the Rfam family "Bacterial small subunit ribosomal RNA", at positions 29 to 523 of the family's 1533-position model. The record is from RNAcentral.